CGACCUAAUCUUGCCGGAGACGAAGGAAAGAAGACGGAAUUGAGGAAAAGAAAAGAAGGGAAUCAGAUGGCUUCACCUGCAGGUUAUUUAGUUUUCCGCAUUUGAAUUAAUCGGUGAUCAUGUGCUGAUUAGGGUAUAAAUUCGUAAUCUAUUGUUUAUGAUUGAAUUGAAUUAUCUAACAGAUUUUGCUAACGAGACCCAUCAGAGUGACUGAGGCACUAACUGAUCUUAAGAUACUUCUAAUAUAUUAAAUAAAUUAUAUAAUAUCAUUGACUUUUUAGAACAUAUCGGACCAUUCAUCUUGUCUAAAUAUAUAAGUUUUAUAUAUAUAUAUAUAUAUAUAUAUGACUUGUAACCAUAACAAAUUAAAUACUUGCUAAAAAAUCAAUAAUGUUAUUUGGUAUAAUACGGAUGGAGUAUGUAUUUACUAGCACAAUAUUGUCAUACUAAGUUAAUUAUUGCAUUACUUCAACAUUGUGGUUAUAAAAGUGUGAAACCUAUACACGGUAAAUAUUAAACUUCCAGGAAUGUUGCACAACUUUGAUUCUACUCACAAAUGUAAGUUUGUCACUGUGUAUGAGUAAUGGUGUGGCGUAGGAUUUUUUUUUAAUUAUUUGAAGGGGAGAGAAAUGGAAGAGAGGCAAGUGUUGUCCGUUGAUUACGGGGCAAUUUGUUAGAUAACUUAAUAACAUAUAUACCAUUAUAUGCACUUUAUAUAGAAUUAAAUAAGUAUAUGAAUGAAUUGCAGAUAUAUAACUGAAUAUUGCCAGGGCGGAUCCACUGCUGGACGAGCUCAUCGGGUGGGCAUGCAAUGAGAUUUGAAUAAUUUUUAUAAACUCCUCUCUCCGUUCUAUUAUAAAACAUCUUAUUUAUAUAUUAAUAUUUGAAUAUUUUAUCUAUAUAAUAAUAUAUAUAUUGUUUAUAUAUAUGUCUAGAUUUAUUAGCUAGUAUUCAUACAUGAAUCUAGAUACGUAAUGUGAGGAAGUCUUAUCUUGUGAAACAGUUGUAGCACAAAUAAACAUAGUAAAUACUUUCAUCUAGGCUCUUAAACUUUUCUUGAGGCUGUCACUGCAGAUGGCCAACUGUACAAAUUACCGUGCAUCCCUUAAUUAGAAGAGUUUCAAACUCGUCAACAACGGCUCGAUUCUUUGCAUUGUUGAUUGAGGAUAUUUUAGAAGAAUAAAUGUUUAUGAGAAAUUAAAUGAACCCAUACAUAGAACUGUAGGUACAACUACCAUACAUGUCACUUCAUAUUUAUCUGGUAUAUUAUAUAUCACCCACCAACUAAUAUAUAGGAUUAUAUAUGGAGUUGUAAAUCUACCACCGCCCACUCCUAUUGGUAGGUGACAAGACACGUGACGGUCACUAAUUAAUUAAACAGAUUCACGUAAUUAAACAGAUUCACGUAGAAAGUCCAUUCCCAAAGCUAGAAAGAAAAAAAAAGAAAAGAAAAGCAUUAAUUAGACACUAAUCUUGGAAAGAAUUGGUUGUUUAACUAAUAAUAUGUAUGCACUACAUAAAUCUGGUUCCAUUCAAUUACGAGUUAUAAGUGUACAUUGGAGAAAGAGAAUAUAACCAAAUGAAUAUGAUGUAUGGCCUAACCAAACUAGUUUAUUUUUAUUGUUCCAACAUCAUUGUUCAACAAAGUUAUCAUAUUAUUCAUGCCGUCGAAAAAGUUCUUAAUUAAUUUAUGCCGUUCAUGUUUAGUACUAAUCAACUAUGCAAAUAUAUUGCCAUCGAUGGAUAUAAAUUCUAUAAAAUACAAUCACAAAUUAAUGCGUUUUAAUUUUCUUCCCUUUUUAACAUCGUUAAUCGUUAGCUUUCUGUCAAAUACGCUUGCAGGUUAAUAUUCCAAUGAAAAUGUUCUUUUACCCGUACAAUAUAUUAAGCACUACUUAUACCGAUAGUGCACUUGUUGGGUGUGAAAUGGUUAUUUUUUUUAUAGGGCUAAUGGAGUGCAUUUGAUGGAAGGCUAACAAAGAUGACACUACGUACGGGAAGAAAAACAUGCAUGUGCGAUGGAAGCUUGCGGACAACCUACAGUGGCCAGUAGUGCUGCAGCAAUGGUGGCGAUGUAGUUGACAUGGAGCAUCGCAACCUAGGGUGCUCCUGCAGCUAGCGAUGGUGGUGAUGGAGUAAACGUGUAGCAUCACAGUUGACGAAGAAAUUGCAUAUGUGUGGAUAAGAGA
RNAcentral lists this long non-coding RNA (2189 nucleotides) under Oryza brachyantha (malo sina). Its description in RNAcentral is "long non-coding RNA (OBRA_LNC000480)". Lineage: Eukaryota; Viridiplantae; Streptophyta; Magnoliopsida; Poales; Poaceae. The record is from RNAcentral.